This 888-nucleotide ribosomal RNA is filed under the name uncultured bacterium. Its description in RNAcentral is "bacterial SSU rRNA". It matches the Rfam family "Bacterial small subunit ribosomal RNA", at positions 23 to 906 of the family's 1533-position model. The record is from RNAcentral.
CUCAGGAUGAACGCUAGCGGGAGGCUUACCACUUGCAAGUCGAGGGGUAAAGGGAGUAGCAAUACGACCUUGAGACCGGCGCACGGGUGAGUAACGCGUAUGCAACCUGCCCUUUACAGGGGGAUAGCCCGGAGAAAUCCGGAUUAAUACCCCAUAGACCUGUAACCUCGCAUGGGGAAUCAGGUAAAGCUUUCGGGCGGUAAAGGAUGGGCAUGCGUGACAUUAGCUUGUUGGCGGGGUAACGGCCCACCAAGGCUGCGAUGUCUAGGGGUUCUGAGAGGAAGGUCCCCCACACUGGUACUGAGACACGGACCAGACUCCUACGGGAGGCAGCAGUGAGGAAUAUUGGUCAAUGGGCGAGAGCCUGAACCAGCCAUCCCGCGUGCAGGAAGAAGGCCCUAUGGGUUGUAAACUGCUUUUGUGCAGGAAGAAUAGUAUCCUCGUGAAGGUAUUUGACGGUACUGCGCGAAUAAGCACCGGCUAACUCCGUGCCAGCAGCCGCGGUAAUACGGAGGGUGCAAGCGUUAUCCGGAUUUAUUGGGUUUAAAGGGUGCGUAGGCGGUAUAUUAAGUCAGUGGUGAAAUCCUGCAGCUCAACUGUAGCAUUGCCAUUGAAACUGAUGUACUUGAGUUAUCUUGAGGUAGGCGGAAUGUGUAGUGUAGCGGUGAAAUGCUUAGAUAUUACACAGAACACCGAUUGCGAAGGCAGCUUACUAAGGGUACACUGACGCUGAGGCACGAAAGCGUGGGGAUCGAACAGGAUUAGAUACCCUGGUAGUCCACGCCGUAAACGAUGAUGACUCGCUGUUGGCGAUAUACCGUUCAGCGGCUUAGUGAAAGCGUUAAGUCAUCCACCUGGGGAGUACGCCUCGCAGAGUGAAACUCAAAG